AUACGGAGGAUGCGAGCGUUAUCCGGAUUUAUUGGGUUUAAAGGGUGCGUAGGCGGUUUUUCAAGUCAGCGGUGAAACGCCAGGGCUCAACCCUUGACCUGCCGUUGAAACUGUUGGACUAGAAUGCGGACGCUGCUGGAGGAAUGUGUGGUGUAGCGGUGAAAUGCAUAGAUAUCACACAGAACACCGAUUGCGAAGGCAGCUCACAAAUCCGUGAGUGACGCUGAGGCACGAAAGUGUGGGGAUCAAACAGGAUUAGAUACCCUGGUAGUCCACACUGUAAACGAUGAUAACUCGCUUUCGGCGAUACACAGUCGGUGGCCAAGCGAAAGCGAUAAGUUAUCCACCUGGGGAGUACGACCGCAAGGUUGAAACUUAAAUGAAUUGGCGGGG
This 393-nucleotide ribosomal RNA is filed under the name uncultured bacterium. RNAcentral's name for it is "partial 16S ribosomal RNA". It matches the Rfam family "Bacterial small subunit ribosomal RNA", at positions 523 to 918 of the family's 1533-position model. The record is from RNAcentral.